This 253-nucleotide ribosomal RNA is filed under the name uncultured bacterium. RNAcentral describes it as "partial 16S ribosomal RNA". It matches the Rfam family "Bacterial small subunit ribosomal RNA", at positions 524 to 776 of the family's 1533-position model. The record is from RNAcentral.
AACGUAGGUACCGAGCGUUAUCCGGAUUUACUGGGCGUAAAGCGCGUUCAGGCGGCUCAGCAAGUCGGGCAUGAAAUCUCUCGGCUCAACCGGGAGGGGCUGUCCGAAACUGCUGGGCUUGAGGGCAGUAGAGGGUGGUGGAAUUCCGGGUGUAGUGGUGAAAUGCGUAGAUAUCCGGAGGAACACCAGUGGCGAAGGCGAGUCCCUGGACAACACCUGACACUGAGGCACGAAAGCUAGGGGAGCAAACAGG